RNAcentral lists this ribosomal RNA (422 nucleotides) under uncultured bacterium. RNAcentral's name for it is "bacterial SSU rRNA". It matches the Rfam family "Bacterial small subunit ribosomal RNA", at positions 67 to 507 of the family's 1533-position model. The record is from RNAcentral.
CGGNGUUAAGGAGCUUGCUUCUUAACUUAGUGGCAACGGGUGAGUAACGCGUGAGGAACCUGCCUUUCAGUGGGGGACAACAGUUGGAAACGACUGCUAAUACCGCAUGAUACUAUUGAGUGGCAUCACUUGAUAGUCAAAGAUUUAUUGCUGAAAGAUGGCCUCGCGUCUGAUUAGCUAGUUGGUGGGGUAACGGCCCACCAAGGCGACGAUCAGUAGCCGGACUGAGAGGUUGACCGGCCACAUUGGGACUGAGAUACGGCCCAGACUCCUACGGGAGGCAGCAGUGGGGGAUAUUGCACAAUGGGCGAAAGCCUGAUGCAGCGACGCCGCGUGAGGGAAGACGGUUUUCGGAUUGUAAACCUCUGUCUUCGGGGACGAAAAUGACGGUACCCGAGGAGGAAGCCACGGCUAACUACGUG